AGGGAAUAUUGGACAAUGGGGGCAACCCUGAUCCAGCCAUGCCGCGUGAGUGAAGAAGGCCCUCGGGUUGUAAAGCUCUUUUGUCCGGAAAGAAAAGCUUCGGGUUAAUACCCCGGGGUUCUGACGGUACCGGAAGAAUAAGCACCGGCUAACUUCGUGCCAGCAGCCGCGGUAAUACGAAGGGUGCAAGCGUUACUCGGAAUUACUGGGCGUAAAGCGUGCGUAGGUGGUUGUUUAAGUCUGAUGUGAAAGCCCUGGGCUCAACCUGGGAAUGGCAUUGGAAACUGGCAAGCUCGAGUGCGGCAGAGGGGGGUGGAAUUCCGCGUGUAGCAGUGAAAUGCGUAGAGAUGCGGAGGAACACCGAUGGCGAAGGCAGCCCCCUGGGCCGACACUGACGCUCAGGCACGAAAGCGUGGGGAGCAAACA
This 426-nucleotide ribosomal RNA is filed under the name uncultured bacterium. RNAcentral's name for it is "bacterial SSU rRNA". It matches the Rfam family "Bacterial small subunit ribosomal RNA", at positions 356 to 774 of the family's 1533-position model. The record is from RNAcentral.